AAGCUGUCGUGUGUGUCACUUCAGGCCUUUUCCUGUUUGAGUUUCCUCCAGACAGCAGACGUUCCUGCUGGGAAUUACUGGGAUGAGCACUAUCUGCACACUGCAGACCCAAAUUUACCCAAACUGCACUCUGGACAGGAAGCUAUUGAUCAUCUUCACGUGGGAGGUAAGACCAGAAAAACUAAUUAUGGCUCAGAAAACUCAGACGCAGCUUGAGUGUAUUUUUGGGGUUUAAUAUAAACUCGAACUAUGCGGCCAGUCGAUAUUAAAAACACUGACGAGUCAUCUUUACAUAUCUAAUCUUUGAAGAGGAAAGUAUUUCAUGUUUGAGGAGUGCUUCUUCUGAAUUAGAGCAUGUUUGACAUGAGAUUCCUCACAUUCUUCAGCGGUGAUAAGCGCAAACAUGGCAUGAGGAACUUGCAGCAGAUUUUUUAUACACGCGUGCAUUCUUUGAAUAACAGGGAAAUAACUCUGGAUGGAGAUGACAGAAGUUUACACAAGAGUUUACGAGAAGUUUACACAAGAAUCUCAUUUAAUCUUGGAACGGUUUGUAUUUGUUGCAGAUAUUGCUCUUAAAAUAACUGGAGAAUAAUCAGAGGAAAAAAGUAUCAAAGGAAUGACAUCUUAAGAAAGUUCAGCCGCUGUCAAUACAAAAGUAAAUAAGAAAGCUAAAAAUCAAACAGUGUCUUGUUUUUCAAAGGUUUCGUUCAAGUUUUACUUCUUCCACAUUCACUUUUUUUUUUUUUAUUACAUUAAAUAAAUGCCAGGAAAUCCAGCCGUGUAAAUAUUUGACAAAUCCAGAGUUUCAUGACGCAACAGAGAUAUCUCGUUUUUCCAGCUGUCUUUUCCAUCACUGUUUAUUGUUGAUGAUAUUUUCACCUGAAACUCUGAUAUCAUCCUCUUGUUUUUCCUUCAGGAAGUUCCUGCGACUGCUCAUUAAUUGUUGCUGAGGGGCCGCGGACUCAGGAAAACAAGUUGGAAUAACAGCUUUGAGAUUUUGAAGGGGCAAAAAACAAGAGCUGCAAGCAGACGAUACAGAUGUAACUCCAUUUGAUCGAGUGUAAUUCACAUUUUUUGCACUGCAGAUUAUUCCUGCAUUCAACAUUGCAGCGUGUUUUGUAAUAUCGUCCUGGG
Xyrichtys novacula (pearly razorfish) is the source of this 1134-nucleotide non-coding RNA. Lineage: Eukaryota; Metazoa; Chordata; Actinopteri; Labriformes; Labridae. The record is from the annotation of a GenBank genome assembly.